Molecule: long non-coding RNA, 660 nt
Organism: Cephus cinctus (wheat stem sawfly)
Lineage: Eukaryota; Metazoa; Arthropoda; Insecta; Hymenoptera; Cephidae
Exons: 2
Source: RefSeq, a predicted model, not a curated record
AUUUUUAUCACUCGCGUGACAACGCGGUGCAUGUUUUUUAUUCGCAACCUUUAAAAGUACAAACGCUGCUUGUACCUUUCGAAAUAGUACAAAAUAGUGGGAGAAACGUGGAUCUUCUGGCCAUGCAUGCAGACUCUUCUUGCAUACCACAAAUUUUAUUGCUCAAGGACAUGUAAAGUGGCAUUGUAAAUCGUGACAGCUUCGUUCUAUUAUUAAUGCAAUGUUUGUGUUUGACAGUAAACCUUGAGAAUGGAGGAUUUUAAUCAAAAGUCAGUAAUCGAGUGGCUUAACAAUACAGUGACAAAGUUCCCAUGGAUUACUUAGCAGCGACUGCCUUGGGUUUUGGUCCUUCCCUAAAUCCGUUCCUGAAAAAGAGAGAGAUAUUAAUUGUAUAUCAUGUAAAUAGUUUAUACAAAUCUGAAGGUGUAGAUCAAAUACUAUGAUAUAAUUAUUACACACAAGGAUUACUGAUAACCUAACCUAACAAUAAUAUCCAUGUUAAAAUAAAUGUUUAAUUCAAAACUUACUUGAACUUGCGACGGACAAUCUUAAGAUGUCGCAUACGACCAGUACCAGUGGUCUUCCUCCUUUUGGCUUUUAUGGACCAAUUGUCUAAAAAGAUAUUUACAAAUAAAACUCAAUGUACUAAUUUAGUACCAC